Molecule: ribosomal RNA, 2878 nt
Filed under: Stenotrophomonas maltophilia
Lineage: Bacteria; Pseudomonadati; Pseudomonadota; Gammaproteobacteria; Lysobacterales; Lysobacteraceae
Description: 23S ribosomal RNA
Rfam family: Bacterial large subunit ribosomal RNA
Source: RNAcentral
GGUCAAGCGAAUAAGCGCACACGGUGGAUGCCUUGGCGGUCAGAGGCGAUGAAGGACGUGGCAGCCUGCGAAAAGUAUCGGGGAGCUGGCAACAAGCUUUGAUCCGGUAAUGUCCGAAUGGGGAAACCCACCCGCUUGCGGGUAUCCUGCAGUGAAUACAUAGCUGCUGGAAGCGAACCUGGUGAACUGAAAUAUCUAAGUAACCAGAGGAAAAGAAAUCAACCGAGAUUCCGUAAGUAGCGACGAGCGAACGCGGACUAGCCCUUAAGCUGGAUUGGUUCUAGGAAAACGCUCUGGAAAGAGCGGCCAUAGAAGGUGAUAGCCCUGUAUCUGAAAGGGCCAUUCCAGUGAAGACGAGUAGGGCGGGGCACGUGAAACCCUGUCUGAACAUGGGGGGACCAUCCUCCAAGGCUAAAUACUACUGACCGACCGAUAGUGAACCAGUACCGUGAGGGAAAGGCGAAAAGAACCCCGGAGAGGGGAGUGAAAUAGAACCUGAAACCGUGUGCGUACAAGCAGUAGGAGCUCCGCAAGGAGUGACUGCGUACCUUUUGUAUAAUGGGUCAGCGACUUACUGUUCGUGGCAAGCUUAACCGUAUAGGGGAGGCGAAGGGAAACCGAGUCUGAUAAGGGCGCAUAGUCGCGGGCAGUAGACCCGAAACCGGGUGAUCUAGUCAUGCCCAGGGUGAAGGUGCGGUAACACGCACUGGAGGCCCGAACCCACUCCCGUUGCAAAGGUAGGGGAUGAGGUGUGAUUAGGAGUGAAAAGCUAAUCGAACCCGGAGAUAGCUGGUUCUCCUCGAAAGCUAUUUAGGUAGCGCCUCAUAUGUAUCCUCUCGGGGGUAGAGCACUGUUAUGGCUAGGGGGUCAUCGCGACUUACCAAACCAUUGCAAACUCCGAAUACCGAGACGGACUGUAUGGGAGACACACGGCGGGUGCUAACGUCCGUCGUGAAAAGGGAAACAACCCAGACCCACAGCUAAGGUCCCAAAUUCACUGCUAAGUGGAAAACCAUGUGGAAAGGCACAGACAGCCAGGAGGUUGGCUUAGAAGCAGCCACCCUUUAAAGAAAGCGUAAUAGCUCACUGGUCGAGUCGGUCUGCGGGGAAGAUUUAACGGGGCUAAGCAGUGAACCGAAGCUUGGGGUGCAUACUUUGUAUGCGCGGUAGAGGAGCGUUCCGUAAGCCGUUGAAGGUGGAUUGAGAAGUCUGCUGGAGGUAUCGGAAGUGCGAAUGCUGACAUGAGUAACGAUAAUGCGGGUGAAAAACCCGCACGCCGAAAGCCCAAGGUUUCCUUGCGCAACGUUAAUCGGCGCAGGGUGAGUCGGCCCCUAAGGCGAGGACGAAAGUCGUAGUCGAUGGGAAGCAGGUUAAUAUUCCUGCACCUCGCGUAAGUGCGAUGGAGGGACGGAGAAGGUUAGGUGUACCAGGCGUUGGUUGUCCUGGGGAAAGGCGGUAGGUUUGGAUCUUUGGCAAAUCCGGGAUCCUUUAAGACCGAGCACCGAGACGAGCCUUUAAGGCGAAGUCACUGAUACCACGCUUCCAGGAAAAGCUCCUAAGCUUCAGCUUACGCAGACCGUACCGUAAACCGACACAGGUGGGUAGGAUGAGAAUUCUCAGGCGCUUGAGAGAACUCGGGUGAAGGAACUAGGCAACAUGGCACCGUAACUUCGGGAGAAGGUGCACCCUUUUUGGUGGCUCGUGCGAGCUAUAGCUGAAGAGGGUCGCAGUAACCAGGCCGCUGCGACUGUUUAUCAAAAACACAGCACUCUGCAAACACGAAAGUGGACGUAUAGUGUGUGACGCCUGCCCGGUGCUGGAAGGUUAAUUGAUGGGGUCAGCCGCAAGGCGAAGCUCUUGAUCGAAGCCCCAGUAAACGGCGGCCGUAACUAUAACGGUCCUAAGGUAGCGAAAUUCCUUGUCGGGUAAGUUCCGACCUGCACGAAUGGCGUAACGACAGCGGCGCUGUCUCCACCCGAGACUCAGUGAAAUUGAAAUCGCUGUGAAGAUGCAGCGUUCCCGUGGCAAGACGGCAAGACCCCGUGAACCUUUACUAUAGCUUUACACUGAACGUUGAGUUCGUCUGUGUAGGAUAGGUGGGAGGCUAUGAAACUGUGGCGCUAGCUGCAGCGGAGCCAUCCUUGAAAUACCACCCUGUCGUGCUUGACGUUCUAACCUGGGCCCAUUAUCUGGGUCGGGGACCGUGUAUGGUGGGUAGUUUGACUGGGGCGGUCUCCUCCUAAAGAGUAACGGAGGAGCUCGAAGGUACGCUCAGCGCGGUCGGACAUCGCGCACUGUGUGCAAAGGCAUAAGCGUGCUUGACUGCAAGAUCGACGGAUCAAGCAGGUAGGAAACUAGGACUUAGUGAUCCGGUGGUUCUGUAUGGAAGGGCCAUCGCUCAACGGAUAAAAGGUACUCCGGGGAUAACAGGCUGAUACCGCCCAAGAGUUCAUAUCGACGGCGGUGUUUGGCACCUCGAUGUCGGCUCAUCACAUCCUGGGGCUGUAGUCGGUCCCAAGGGUAUGGCUGUUCGCCAUUUAAAGUGGUACGCGAGCUGGGUUCAGAACGUCGUGAGACAGUUCGGUCCCUAUCUGCCAUGGGCGUUGGAGAUUUGAGAGGGGCUGCUCCUAGUACGAGAGGACCGGAGUGGACGAACCUCUGGUGUUCCGGUUGUCACGCCAGUGGCAUUGCCGGGUAGCUAUGUUCGGAAGCGAUAACCGCUGAAAGCAUCUAAGCGGGAAGCGCGCCUCAAGAUGAGAUCUCCCGGGGCACAAGCCCCCUGAAGGAACCAUGUAGACUACGUGGUUGAUAGGUCAGGUGUGUAAGUACAGCAAUGUAUUGAGCUAACUGAUACUAAUGAUCCGUGCGGCUUGACCAU